RNAcentral lists this long non-coding RNA (5922 nucleotides) under Sus scrofa (pig). RNAcentral's name for it is "lncRNA (ENSSSCG00025028764.1)". The record is from RNAcentral. Lineage: Eukaryota; Metazoa; Chordata; Mammalia; Artiodactyla; Suidae.
CCAGACAGAGAAAUGUGUACAAAUAACUUGGGAGAAGACCAUGAGUAAAUUACUUGGAGAUGGAUGUUGAAGGAAACCACAGAUAAAGUUACUUUUAUUGGAGUUCCUGUUGUGGUGCAGCGGAAACAAAUCCGACUGGAACCAUGAGGUUGCAGGUUCGAUCCCUGGCCUUGCUCAGUGGGUUAAGGAUCUGGCAUUGCUUGGAGCUGUGGUGUAGGUCGCAGACACGGCUCUGAUCUGGCAUUGCUGUAGCUGUGGUGUAGGAUGACAGCUAUAGCUCUGACUGGCCCCCUAGCCUGGAAACCUCCAUAUGCUGAGGGCUUAGCCCUGAAAAGACAAAAGACAAAAACAAACAAACAAGGGCUCUAUAGCUGGAGCCCUUAACACCUUCAUCCAGGUCUCCUGAGCUCUCAGGAACCUACCUCUUCUGUGUGCUUACCCUGUCUGUCUUCCCCUCGCUUUGCUGUUCAUUCUUGGCCAGUGAUUAAUAAAAAAAGUGUUCAUCUCUGUGCACGAUCAACUAAAAUGGGACAGCUUUUCAAGUUUUAAAAUUCAGUGCAAUUUAUUGCCUGGCUUUGUGGUUUCCAAGAUUAUGCACCAUGCCAAAUUGUGGUUUUAUUGACAAAGGAGUCCAUUUAUCUGGCAUGAAUAAGAACUAGCUUCAGAGUAGGCAGUAACUUACUAGAUGGAAAGCGACUGGUGUUAUAUUAUGACUUUAUCUGAGUUUGUGAAAGGUUUGGGUUUCUCUAGCAAAUAUGUUUAUUCCUAGGCAUAGCAGGUGUUUAGAUCCUCAUGAACUAAGUCCUUUCUUGGAACAUGGCAAAUGUAAUAGCUUCUGAGAAGAGCAGCCUGGAGAAAGAGAAUUCAGAUGGGAAGGGGGUAUGUUGGGAAGAGGAGGAAGCAGUGAGGGAAGGCCAGAUGGAAGCCUUCCCCAGCCGUCAGUGAACUUCAUGACCAUGCCACCAUCUUGCCAGAAUAUGGGUGCAUUUUCACUCCACUGAUGCGAGGCUGCUUGAGGCCGCUGUCUUUUCAAAAACACCUCAGGGAAGAAAUUCUACCUUUGGCUAUUGUAUUCAAGUGCCUGUCUUUCUUGUGGAACAUAAAUCCGAAGGGACCCGGAACUCAAGGCUGCCUAAUAUAAUUUUGAGUGUAAACACAGCCUCUUGAUCUCUCCUGCUACACCCUGAAUGGACCAAGGUGGCCAGUGCUGCCACCUACUGGUCUGUGUGUUUUGCCUCUUAUAGAGAAAAGGAAAAUUGUUUCCAAGCUAAUUCCUGGAUUCACAGCAUCUGUGUUUAAGUAUAUUGCCACCUUCCAUUUGCAACUGGGAGGGCUUUCCUAGGAAUUCUAUUCUGUAAGAUAGUAGAUACAAUAAUAAUAGGUGGCAGGCUAGACUAGAGGAUUGAGUGUUCCAGUAAAUUACUGUGAGGAAAGCAAUUUGACAUCCUUUCAUCCUUUGAUGAAAGCUCAAUGUGAAAUCUAGGUGUAAACAUGUAAAAAAGAAUUGAAAGUCACACAUGGAAGGGAGACCUGAAAGUGUGGCAGAAAUCACUACUCAGAGAGGUCCUCAAGGUGGUACCUCGAUUUAACAAUGUUAUUUCUUCCCAAAAUUAAUGCAUCUGUGGAACUUCUUGGCCUUAUUCCUGGAUGCUGUCAAUUUAGCAAAGGACAUUUACACAAAUGGUUUCUGUAGUCGAACUGAUAUUGGGUUGGGAACACUGGCCCAAGAAUUCAAUGUCUUCUAUUUGAAAAGAUGCACAAUACUGGAGAGUUUAGGCAGCCCCAUUUUGGGUUCCUUAACCCAUUAUUAUCUGUUGCUUGAAGACUGACUGUUAAGGGUGACAGACAUGGCUUUUGUUUCUCCGUGCCUUUGUUCUGAGCUUUUGGUAAAUUCAAAAAGAAAUGCAUAGACAUGGCUUUCGCCUCACCUUCCUCUCGAAAACAUGCUUUCUUUGGCCUCACCUCUUCUUCCUUCCUCCAGAUAUACAUAUAAAACGAUACCCUUCUAUUUGGGUUAGUUGUUUUACAUAUAGACAUAUCUUAUUUCUUGGACUAAAUGACAUUUUCCUGGAAAGUGAACUUUUGUUAUCUCCAUAAUGCCUAGAAAAACAAGAUAGUAGUUAGCCAGUAUUAGUUGCAUGCUAACCCUCAGGUAGGUGCUGUGUUAAAUAUGUUAUAUGUAUGAGCCAUGGCAAUGCCAGAAUCUUUAACCCAUUGGGCCAGGCCAGGGAUCAAAUCUGAAACCUUAGCAGCAACCUGAGCUGCUGUAGUCAGAUUCUUAACCUAUUGUGCCACACAGCAGGAACUCCUGUCAGAGGGAUUUAAACUCAGGUUUGUCUUCCUGUACCUCUUCCUUAAUACAUAUACUCAUGAUCCCCCAGUUUCAUGAAACAAACUUUGCCAGAGUUUUGUGUCUUAAAACAACCACAGUUCUACAGUUUAGACAGAGGUUGGCGGGGAUAGGUCAUCUGCAUGGCAACCGGUGUGGCACUACUGGGCCCAGAGGUCCCAUCCAACGUAACCUUGCCUCCAUGGCUAGGGAGCUGGUUGUGGUUGUUGGCUUAGUUCUCAGCCAGGGCUGUUGUUUGGGGGCCUCAGUGCUUUCAACAUGGCCUCUCUUCAGGGUUGGCUUGGGCUUCUGUGGUUUUUUUUUUUUUUUUUUUUUUUUUUUUUUUNUACCUGCGGCAUGUGGAGGUUCCCAGGCUAGGGGUCGAAUCAGAGCUAUAGCCGCUGGCCUUCGCCAGAGCCACAGCAACAUGGGAUCUGAGCUGCAUUUGCAACCUACACCACAGCUCACUGCAAUGCUGGAUCCUUAACCCACUGAGCGAGGCCAGGAAUCGAACCAGCAACCUCAUUGUUCCUAGUCGGAUUCAUUAACCACUGAUCCACAACAGGAACUCCUGGCUCAGGCUUCUUGAAUCACGAAGGCAGGAGAUGCAAGGACUGCUUCUGACAUAAUCUCCAAAGUGGCACAGUAUGAUUUCUGAAGCAUCCUUUGGUUAAAGCAGGUCCCAGGACUAGCCAGAUUCAAGGGAGGGGAACUGCACAGGGCAGGAUUACUAGCAGGCUUGGUUCACAGUCAUGGUUUGAAAUUGAGUCCACCACAUGAAGGCAGCAAAGCCUUUUUCCCUUGUUUUUUAUUAUAAUCUGAGAAUCUGAAAAGUAGAAAUUUAACUACCAUCUAUUCAGCACUAGAGUCAAGACAGAGAAGAUAGAGUUUUCGCUCCUGCCCUAUAAUAGUACCUGAUGCCCUAGGAGUUCAAACAGAAAGAAAAACAAAGCCAAACAAGCAAGAGCGGUGAGUAGAAACAUACUAUGUUCUAGACCAGUUGUCAUAUUCAAUCUGUGAGUAUUUUUAAGAGCAGCAGUGAGCGACCAAGACACAUGCCAUUAGAAUUUCUGGGAUGCCUUUAUUUUAGGCACUUGAACUUGCAUGCUUUUUACGGAGUAGGGAAAUGGUACUCAAACACACAUCACACAUCCUUACCUGUAGGUGCAAGUGAAGGAGUGAAAAUUGGAUAUGCGAGGGUUACGUUCCAUGUCAAGUCAGAGCUGGGGGUGUCUAGCUUAGCAUGGUAGUUUAUUCCAAGAGCAGCAAUAAAGUCAUGUCACUUUUUAUUACAUGCACAGCAUCCAUUUAGGGAAGUGGAUCUUUAGGUUUUAUUUCCAAAAUAGAGCACAUAUUUUCAGUGCUCAUUGAAAGAAGCAGGGGAAAGUGGGUGAGAGGGUGCUAUGGUAGCCCUUGUUAUUUAUAGCCAGUGAUAUUGUUAGUGUUCACCCCACAGAGAACUGAAUCACAUCUAAGCCCAUAAUUUCCAUAUCUUUGGAAAGCUUUUAGCUCCUCACUGCCUGUUGGCAUGGUAACAUGACAAGAGUUAUGAUGUCAAAACCAUAUGAACUCAUGAUUGAUCUAAAAUUAUUUGGGAAACUUUCCCAUUUCAAAUUUCCAUUGAGAGAGAGAGAACGAGAGGCAGAUUAAUUCAAAAGAGAAAAAAAAAAUCCUUUUUUUUUUUUUGUAAUUGCCCUGAAAUAAAUUCUCCAUUUUUGUAGCCAUGUAAUGCUAAAAGAUUACUGUCCUUCUGAUGCUUUUGGCACUGUCUUUCAAAGUCAGAUAUUUUAAUCUCCCUUUCUUUUUUUAUUUUUUUUCCCUAUUCUGAUUGAAAUCAGUGGUUUUAGCACUCUUUAGGCUACACAUGCACAAAGAGCAGGUGCAUGGUCUGAGGAAUGCCCUUUGGAAUUUGCAGGUGUCUCCUGAAGUGAAGGUGGCCUUGAGGAAAUGUUCAAAGUUGGCAGAGAGAUUAGGAGACACGAAGACCUACUGUCUUUUGGGUAUUUGAAUGCUGUAGGUGUUUCUAUCACUUCCAUGUAGAGGAGCAAACAAAAGGGUCACAGAGAUGAAAUAAGUCACUUGAGGCCAGAAGCCAGACAGUGAAAAAGUGGCAGAAACAAGAUUUAUGGGGAGAAAAAAAAAUCUGAGCUUGUUAACCAGAGGUGUAGGAUACACUCAGGGGAAAAUAAGUAAACAUUACAAAGCUUUAUCACUUUAGGGAAUUUAUUAAACCUAGUUUCUUUAUAGGGACCUCAGUUUACCAAUCUGUAAAUGGGGAGAAACAUAGAAACCUGGCUAUGAGGACAAACUAUAAGCAGUUGAGCUCAAGACAGAGCCCAGUCCUUGUAUGAAAAAGUUCUAAUACUGAUUGCUCUGUAGAAGCAAAUAGAUUUAUGUGGAACUUUCAAAGACAGAAGGAUAAACACAUCUUAUUUCAGAUACCACUUUCUUUGUGUCCUAAGAUGUAGAACUUGACCAUAAUGCUGGACCUUGGCAUGGCUACUUCUGCUGCCCAAAUCAUUUCUUGUCUAUAACCCAAUUUCAAACUGACCACACUUAAAUUCCUGAUCUGCAAUUUUCAUCAUUAUUUCUCUGCAUAAUUUACAGCCAAAAGAGUGUUUGAAGUUGGAGAGAGGUGUGAUUUUCUUCUGCAUAAUGUUAUUAAUUAGACUCACAUUCACAUGUAUUUUUGAGCAGAUUUUUAAUUAAAGGCUUACAAUGGGUCAGGCACUCUUACACAAAAGCUAAACAAAAUAGACAACAGCUCUUGUUGGAAGCUUAUAUUUUAGUGUAGGAAACAGAUAAAAAAAUAUAAAGAUGUGAAACAUAUACAAUAUUCUAUAAUAAAAAUACUAAGAAGAAACUAAACUAGAAAGUAGUUAAACUAAGCAUAUGAGGCCUCAGGACUGAGGCUGAGAUUUUGAUCGGGUAGCUUGGAAAUGUAUCACUGGGGUGACUUUUCACGCAGAUACUGGGAGGAAGGAGCAUCAGGACAGGAAGAGGGAAUAGCAAAUGCAAAGGCCCUGAGGUCCAAGGUGUUCGGGAAGAGCAAGAAGGCCAGAUAGCUUGGAGCAGAGUGAAUGAGGAGGAGGGUGGGAAAUGUCUUAUUUUCUGUCCUUAGAACACCAGGACAGAGGUAGUGAGCGCAUGCAUCUGAAAUAAAUCAGAGGUGGCCUCCCUAAGGUAACAGAAUGGGUUUGAGUUUGACCCAGACUUGGGACUCCAGCUCUAAUGGCAUUUUUGGGAUGCCUGGUCUUCAGCUCUUCUUAACAAUUGGAAUCAUUCUGAGUUAUUUUAUCACUGUUCACUCUUCCCAUGUAUGAGGGGAAAACUUUGUAAGCCUUUCUCAGCCUUGAGCAGCUUUCUUUAAUAAUUCCAUAGAACUAGGGAGUUUCCAUUGUGGCUCACUAGGUUAAGAGCCCGACAUAGUCUCUGUGAGGAUGCUCAGGUUCUAUCUUUGGUCUCACUUAGUGGGUUAAGGGUCUGGCAUUGUUGCAAGCUAUGGUGUAGGUCUCGGAUGUAGCUUGUAUCUGGUGUUGUUGUGGCUGUGGCAUAGGUUGCAGCUGCAGCCCCAAUUCAACCUCUAGCCUGGA